Long non-coding RNA from Terrapene triunguis (Three-toed box turtle), 225 nucleotides. RefSeq lists it as uncharacterized. Lineage: Eukaryota; Metazoa; Chordata; Testudines; Emydidae. The transcript has 3 exons. The record is from RefSeq and is a predicted model, not a curated record.
GCGGCGACGCUGCUGCAGCAGCUGCCGGGCCCCCGAGCUCCACUGUGCCGGGCCCAGGCCGCCUAGAGAGCCGCCGAGCCAGCGCCGGGCCCGGGCCGCAGCCAUCCCGGGCCGGACUCCGAGCACUUUACCUACAUGAGAGAAUUGGAAGCUAAAGCUACCAAAGAAGUUGAAAGAAAACUAAGCAGGGAUUUAGUGCAAGAAGAGGAAGAACAGUUGAUGGAA